Molecule: ribosomal RNA, 234 nt
Filed under: uncultured bacterium
Lineage: Bacteria
Description: partial 16S ribosomal RNA
Rfam family: Bacterial small subunit ribosomal RNA
Source: RNAcentral
CGAGUAACCUGCCCUUAACUCUGGGAUAAGCCUGGGAAACUGGGUCUAAUACCGGAUAUGACUCCUCAUCGCAUGGUGGGGGGUGGAAAGCUUUUUGUGGUUUUGGAUGGACUCGCGGCCUAUCAGCUUGUUGGUGAGGUAAUGGCUCACCAAGGCGACGACGGGUAGCCGGCCUGAGAGGGUGACCCGGCCACACUGGGACUGAGACACGGCCCAGACUCCUACGGGAGGCAG